Molecule: transfer RNA, 77 nt
Filed under: Candidatus Falkowbacteria bacterium CG1_02_37_44
Lineage: Bacteria; Candidatus Falkowiibacteriota
Also listed under: 3 other names
Description: tRNA-Val
Source: RNAcentral
GGACAUAUAGCUCAGCUGGUUAGAGCGUUCCGUUCACAUCGGAAAGGUCUCUGGUCCGAAUCCAGAUAUGUCCACUA